Molecule: long non-coding RNA, 185 nt
Organism: Rhodamnia argentea
Lineage: Eukaryota; Viridiplantae; Streptophyta; Magnoliopsida; Myrtales; Myrtaceae
Exons: 2
Source: RefSeq, a predicted model, not a curated record
CCCAUCAAAUGUUUAUGUGAUAAUUUUUUGCUGAUGCGCACGAGCGAUACUAAAUUUUUAAUUGCGUGCUGCAAUCAUUUAAAUCAUUCUCGCCCUUCUAGUUUUUGAUCCUCAAUAAUUUUCAAUUGUUGCUUCGAUAAGGUUUUUGUUGUUCAAUGUGUACGUAAACACAGCCUGUUUCUGCU